GACCCUUCUGCGCACUCCGCCGCGCACGUCCUACUCGUUACGGCAUAAUACGCGUGCGCUUUGACACGCACGCGCCGAUUGCCGGUAACGGUAGUGUAUAGGCAAAACGCUUCAGCGCCAUCCAUUUUCAGGGCUGGUCGCUUCGGCAGGUGAGUCGUUGCACACUCCUUAGCGGAUUCCGACUUCCAUGGCCACCGUCCUGCUGUCAUGAGCGACCAACGGCUUUCAUGGUGUCCCAUGAGCGUUUUUUAGGCGCCUUAACACUACGUUUGGUUCAUCCCACAGCGCCAGUUCUGCUUAC
This is a long non-coding RNA of Leptidea sinapis, 301 nucleotides long. RefSeq lists it as uncharacterized. NCBI's taxonomy places the organism in Eukaryota, Metazoa, Arthropoda, Insecta, Lepidoptera, Pieridae. The transcript is spliced from 2 exons. The record is from RefSeq and is a predicted model, not a curated record.